Molecule: ribosomal RNA, 459 nt
Filed under: uncultured bacterium
Lineage: Bacteria
Description: partial 16S ribosomal RNA
Rfam family: Bacterial small subunit ribosomal RNA
Source: RNAcentral
CCUACGGGAGGCAGCAGUGAGGAAUAUUGGUCAAUGGUCGGGAGACUGAACCAGCCAAGCCGCGUGAGGGAUGAAGGUACAGAGUAUCGUAAACCUCUUUUGGCAGGGAACAAAGGCGGGGACGUGUCCCCGGAUGAGUGUACCUGAAGAAAAAGCAUCGGCUAACUCCGUGCCAGCAGCCGCGGUAAUACGGAGGAUGCGGGCGUUAUCCGGGUUUAUGGGGGUUAAAGGGUGCGCAGGCGGUCUGUUAAGUCAGCGGUCAAAGCCCGGGGUUAAACCCCGGCCCGCCGUUGAAACUGGCAGUCUCGAGUUGGAGAGAAGUAUGCGGAAUGCGCGGUGUAGCGGUGAAAUGCAUAGAUAUCGCGCAGAACUCCGAUUGCGAAGGCAGCAUGCCGGCUCCACACUGACGCUGAGGCACGAAAGCGUGGGUAUCGAACAGGAUUAGAUACCCGAGUAGUC